UGUGUAGGCGGUCGUGUUAGUCUUUUGUUAAAGUUUUUGGGCUUAACCCAGAAAAUGCAGGAGAAACGGCACGACUUCGAGGACGCGAGAGGUAGAGGGAACUCAUGGUGUAGGGGUGAAAUCCGUUGAUAUCAUGGGGAACACCAAAUGCGAAGGCACUCUACUGGCGCGCUCCUGACGCUGAAACACGAAAGCGUGGGAAUCGAAGG
Molecule: ribosomal RNA, 209 nt
Filed under: uncultured bacterium
Lineage: Bacteria
Description: partial 16S ribosomal RNA
Rfam family: Bacterial small subunit ribosomal RNA
Source: RNAcentral